UGCCCUGCACUCUGGGACAAGCCCUGGAAACGGGGUCUAAUACCGGAUACUGACCCGCUUGGGCAUCCAAGCGGUUCGAAAGCUCCGGCGGUGCAGGAUGAGCCCGCGGCCUAUCAGCUUGUUGGUGAGGUAAUGGCUCACCAAGGCGACGACGGGUAGCCGGCCUGAGAGGGCGACCGGCCACACUGGGACUGAGACACGGCCCAGACUCCUACGGGAGGCAGCAGUGGGGAAUAUUGCACAAUGGGCGAAAGCCUGAUGCAGCGACGCCGCGUGAGGGAUGACGGCCUUCGGGUUGUAAACCUCUUUCAGCAGGGAAGAAGCGAAAGUGACGGUACCUGCAGAAGAAGCGCCGGCUAACUACGUGCCAGCAGCCGCGGUAAUACGUAGGGCGCGAGCGUUGUCCGGAAUUAUUGGGCGUAAAGAGCUCGUAGGCGGCUUGUCACGUCGGUUGUGAAAGCCCGGGGCUUAACCCCGGGUCUGCAGUCGAUACGGGCAGGCUAGAGUUCGGUAGGGGAGAUCGGAAUUCCUGGUGU
Molecule: ribosomal RNA, 536 nt
Filed under: Streptomyces sp. SAUK6026
Lineage: Bacteria; Bacillati; Actinomycetota; Actinomycetes; Kitasatosporales; Streptomycetaceae
Description: bacterial SSU rRNA
Rfam family: Bacterial small subunit ribosomal RNA
Source: RNAcentral